This is an RNA transcript of Physeter macrocephalus (sperm whale), 3177 nucleotides long. It is a transcript of the gene named sphingosine-1-phosphate receptor 2, with no coding region annotated. The transcript has 3 exons. The record is from RefSeq and is a predicted model, not a curated record. Lineage: Eukaryota; Metazoa; Chordata; Mammalia; Artiodactyla; Physeteridae.
ACAAAGGGACCCCGCGCGCCUCCUCCUCGCCCGCCUCCUCCCCGCCCGCCCUUGCGCGCGUCCCGCUGGGCAGGCCACAUCUGGAAUUCAUUGCUGCUGCCGCCGCCGGAAAGGAGGCGGAGAUAGGGCGGGGCAAGUGGGGGCCGAGGCGGCGCCUCUCGCGGUCCCCCUCCGUCCCCGGUCCCCAGCCCCGGGACGCAGAGGAGCCCGGCGGGCAGUCCCAGCCCUAGCCGCGGCCGUCCCGGGGACGCAGACGCCAAAGCCCCUCUGGCCAGGGCAAGGACCCGGGUCGGCCUAGCCAGCUCUGACAGCCCCAUGGCCCCAGCCGGCUACUAAGCCCCACCAUGGGCAACGUGUACUCAGAGUACCUAAGCUCCAGCAAGGUCAGGGAACACUAUAAUUACACCAAGGAGAAUCUGGACACGAAGGAGACGCCCUCCCGCCAGGUGGCCUCAGCCCUCAUCGUGGUCCUCUGUUGCGCCAUCGUGGUGGAAAACCUGUUGGUCCUCAUCGCGGUUGCCCGCAACAGCAAGUUCCACUCGGCCAUGUACCUGUUCCUGGGCAACCUGGCUGCCUCGGACCUGCUGGCGGGCGUGGCCUUCAUAGCCAAUACUUUGCUCUCGGGCUCUGUCACACUGGGGCUGACCCCCGUGCAGUGGUUCGCCCGUGAGGGCUCUGCCUUCAUCACGCUCUCCGCCUCUGUCUUCAGCCUCCUGGCCAUCGCCAUCGAGCGGCACGUGGCCAUCGCCAAGGUCAAGCUCUACGGCAGCGACAAGAGCUGCCGCAUGCUGCUGCUCGUCGCGGCCUCGUGGCUCAUCUCGCUGGUUCUCGGCGGCCUGCCCAUCCUUGGCUGGAACUGCCUGGGCCGCCUGGAGGCCUGCUCCACCGUCCUGCCGCUCUACGCCAAGCCCUACGUCCUCUGCGUGGUGACCAUCUUCUCGGUCAUCUUGUCCGCCAUCGUAGCCCUGUACGUCCGCAUCUACUGUGUGGUCCGCUCCAGCCAGGCCGAUGUGGCUGGCCCGCAGACACUGGCCCUGCUCAAGACGGUCACCAUCGUGCUGGGCGUCUUCAUCUUCUGCUGGCUGCCCGCCUUUAGCAUCCUCCUCCUGGACUAUGCCUGUCCUGUCCGGGCCUGCCCUGUCCUCUACCAGGCCCAUUACUUCUUUGCCUUUGCCACCCUCAACUCACUGCUCAACCCCGUCAUCUACACGUGGCGCAGCCGGGACCUGAGGCGGGAGGUAUUACGGCCGCUGCAGUGCUGGCGGCGGGCAGCAGGGGUGCAAGGGGGGCGGGACGGGACCCCGGGCCACCGCCUCCUGCCCCUCCGCAGCUCCAGCUCCCUGGAGAGGGGCACACACAUGCCCACAUCGCCCACGUUUCCGGAGGGCGACACGAUGGUCUGAGGGGCAAGUGGGCUGACACCCAGGCCACCACAGCAGAGGGCUCCGUGGAGAGGCACCGGGUGCCCUGGGACAGAGACAUGGGGCUGCCAAGCAAGAUGCCCCCAUUCCACAGACCUGGGCGAUGCUGAAGGCACAGGGCCCAGCGGGUCCUUUGAAGAUAGAUCUGGAGCUUUGAUGGGGAACCCAGGCCCUCGAGCUGAAGCUCCACCCGGCAACCCCAGCACAAAGCUAGGGCAGCCUGCGGAAGCGAGAAGGAGUGGGGCAGACGGUGGCCAGAAGCUGAGACCCACACCCCCCAUCGGAAUUCCCCUUCCUCCGGCAAUUCAAAGACAACCUCUGGAAACCUGAGCCCUCGCUGGGAUUGGGAGGAGGAAGAGGCACAGGCCAGGCCAGAGUCAAUAAAUUUCCCCCAAACACCCACAUGCUUCCUUCACCUGCUCCUUCAGGCAUGCGCUCCAAUGCCAUCUCCUCAGAGAAGCCUGCCCUGACCACCUUCUUCCCUCUAUCUAGCCCCUCACCUUCUUACCACCUGGCGGUGUAAUAUACAUCGGUCUACUUCUCCCUAAUUAAAAUAUUUACUUUUUUUUUUUUUUGGCUGCACCACGCAACAUGUGGGAUCUUCGUUCCCCGACCAGGGAUCGAACCUGCGUCCUCUGCAUUGGAAGCACAGAGUCUUAACCACUGGACCGCCAGGGAAGUCCCUUUUUUAUUUAAUUUUUUUCCUAAUUAAAACAUGAACACCUUGCAGAUAGGACUGCAUCCUAUUCACCACAGUCUCUAGCAUCUUUCAUGGUACUUGGCACGUUCCCACCAAAGGAGCUUAGCAGCUGCUGUUCCUUCUUCUGGGAAUGAUCUUCCUGCAGACAUCUUUGUGACUCUUCUCUCCUCUUUCAAGUCGGUAUUCAAAUAUCACACCCUGGGUGAGGCCUCUGGCCAUGAACACAAUUUUUUUUUUAUCCUAUCUACCUCCCUUGCUACUCGCUAAUAUGCAACACAUUUCGCUUCUUUAUCUUGUUCAGUUUAUUAUUAUUAUUAUUAUAUUUUUGGCCGUGCUGCACGGCAUGUGGGACCUUAGUUCCCCAACCAGGAUCAAACCCAUGCCCCCCGCAUUGGAAGCGCAGAGUCUUAACCACUGGACCGCCAGGGAAGUACCUAUCUUGUUUAUUUUCUAUUUCCCCCUUAGAAUGCCAGUCCCAUUCGAAAUACCAGACAGCAGGAGUUUUUGUCUAUCUUGCUCACUGAGUGGCCUCAGUGCUCAGAACAGUGGCCAGCUCACAGUAGGUGCUCAAUAAAUGUUGAAUGAAUGAAAGCCAAAGCAAAUGGCUGAAUGUUAAGUGCUGUGAAGAAAAUAAAAUAGGAGAAGCAACAGUUUUGGGGUACUGUAUUCUGCAGGGAAGGCAUUAUUAUAGGCACUCUGACCGAGAAAGAAACUGAGGCACAGAGAGGUCAAGUCAUGUGCCCAAGGUCACGGAGCAUGUGAGUGGAGGGGUCUGGAUUUGAACCCAGGCAGUCCUUUUUUUUGGCUGCACCACUCAGCUUGUGAAUCUUAGUUCCCCAACCAGGGAUAGAACCCCGGGCCCCCUGCAGUGGUAGCAUGGAGUCCUAACCACUGGACGGCCAGGGAACUCCCCCCUUUUUUUUUCUUUUUCUUUUUUUCAGGCAGUCCUUGAUUGAAUACCAAAUCACUUCUCAUUCUCCUCAGUAUGGCGGUCUGAAGAACUGAUUUGCUAAUCUCUCAGAUCUCAGAGCCUAGAAUGGAAUGGACCAACCUGUA